CAGCAGCCACGGUAAUACGUAGGGUGCGAGCGUUAUCCGGAAUUAUUGGGCGUAAAGAGCUCGUAGGCGGUUUGUCGCGUCUGCUGUGAAAACUGGAGGCUCAACCUCCAGCCUGCAGUGGGUACGGGCAGACUAGAGUGCGGUAGGGGAGAUUGGAAUUCCUGGUGUAGCGGUGGAAUGCGCAGAUAUCAGGAGGAACACCGAUGGCGAAGGCAGAUCUCUGGGCCGUAACUGACGCUGAGGAGCGAAAGCAUGGGGAGCGAACAGGAUUAGAUACCCCUGUAGUCCCUGUCUCUUAUAC
Molecule: ribosomal RNA, 301 nt
Filed under: uncultured bacterium
Lineage: Bacteria
Description: partial 16S ribosomal RNA
Rfam family: Bacterial small subunit ribosomal RNA
Source: RNAcentral